CAGCAGCCGCGGUAAUACGAAGGGGGCUAGCGUUGCUCGGAAUGACUGGGCGUAAAGGGCGCGUAGGCGGUUCGUACAGUUGGAUGUGAAAUUCCUGGGCUUAACCUGGGGGCUGCAUUCAAUACGUGCGGGCUUGAGUGUGGAAGAGGGUUGUGGAAUUCCCAGUGUAGAGGUGAAAUUCGUAGAUAUUGGGAAGAACACCGGUGGCGAAGGCGGCAACCUGGUCCAUAACUGACGCUGAGGCGCGAAAGCGUGGGGAGCAAACAGGAUUAGAGACCCCUGUGUCCCUGUCUCUUAUACA
RNAcentral lists this ribosomal RNA (301 nucleotides) under uncultured bacterium. Its description in RNAcentral is "partial 16S ribosomal RNA". It matches the Rfam family "Bacterial small subunit ribosomal RNA", at positions 509 to 808 of the family's 1533-position model. The record is from RNAcentral.